RNAcentral lists this ribosomal RNA (253 nucleotides) under uncultured bacterium. RNAcentral describes it as "partial 16S ribosomal RNA". It matches the Rfam family "Bacterial small subunit ribosomal RNA", at positions 524 to 776 of the family's 1533-position model. The record is from RNAcentral.
UACGGAGGGGGCUAGCGUUGUUCGGAAUCAUUGGGCGUAAAGGGCGCGUAGGCGGCCAGGCAAGUCGGAGGUGAAAUCCCUCGGCUCAACCGAGGAACUGCCUCCGAUACUGCCUGGCUCGAGUCCCGGAGAGGGUAGUGGAAUUCCCAGUGUAGCGGUGAAAUGCGUAGAUAUUGGGAGGAACACCGGUGGCGAAGGCGGCUACCUGGACGGGUACUGACGCUGAGGCGCGAAAGCGUGGGGAGCAAACAGG